GCCAAUCAUUUGCGGAAAUGUGAGUUAAAUAUUAAGAGAUCAAUAGUCAGGAAGAUGAACAUGUGCAACAUUUCAGGAAAAGUAGAGGUCAGACAUUUAAAACACUUUCCCAAUUGGGAAAGGACAUUAUCUUCUGUAACCACAAGGGGGCACUGCAAGAUAGUGUAUGAAGUGGGCUUGGAAACCACCUUUUCUGGUUUUGCUGUAACAGUAUUUGUAACAAAUGAACUGUAAGAGAAAAAGAACAAAUGGUACGUCU
Long non-coding RNA from Thalassophryne amazonica, 259 nucleotides. RefSeq lists it as uncharacterized. The record is from RefSeq and is a predicted model, not a curated record. NCBI's taxonomy places the organism in Eukaryota, Metazoa, Chordata, Actinopteri, Batrachoidiformes, Batrachoididae. The transcript is spliced from 3 exons.